Molecule: non-coding RNA, 531 nt
Organism: Nylanderia fulva
Lineage: Eukaryota; Metazoa; Arthropoda; Insecta; Hymenoptera; Formicidae
Source: RefSeq, a predicted model, not a curated record
GGUGCGUUCCGUUAUGCACUGCAAGUACUGGCACUAUGGGUGCAUUCGUUUAUGCAGCGAUUAGCGCAUCCACUGCGCAUCUACUGCGUCUAUUAUCUGCGAGUCACGUGACAUCAUUUACCGAACGAUCACCUGCGUGAAUUGACUGCUCAGAUUGUAAUUGGAGUGCACAGUGAUGACAGUAGGAUUGAAAUGUUGCUGAAUGUAGACUUCUCAGAUUUUUCCAAACUAACUGGGGGCGAAGUAGCUUGAUAGCUAGGAAUGACUACAACGUUUCCAAGUUCAAUUGGCUUAACAAUGGAGAAGACUACAUUCGUUUACGCAGUAGUCCGCAGUACUGCGAGCAGAGCAUCCUGAGCAGGACCUCCGAGAUGGCUGCGCAGAUAGGCAGCAGCUCUGCUUAAACGAACAACAAACUGCGCUGCAGUCGGUUGCGCAGGUGGAGUAAACGAACGACAUCUGCGGCAUUCUGCGGCAGUCUCUGCAUAAACGAAUGCACCCUAUGACGUCAUGCAAGUGUACUGUUGACAG